CGAUGAAGAAACUUUUCCUACUGGCCGCGUUAGAGAACAAGAAAGGUAUUUCAGAGAAGUUCAUAGCCAAUUGGCUGAGAUAAAAGAAAUGACACGCUGCAGCUUUCACAGGGUAAAUGAUAAAAUAUUGGAUAUGAAAGCACAAUUGAAUGUAAUGUUCUCUAUGAUGAUUGGGAUCGAAGCCAGAGUGGAACAAUUAAUGAAAAUUACUCCUCUCCCUCAGCAGACUCAGUCACAAAACCACAGAGAACGGGAGAUCGAACCGUUGCCAAGGCUUACAAAUCGAUCUUCAAAUUAGCAUUCACCCAAUACUUCUCGAAGUAAUAAAGGAAAAACCCCUCUUAUAGAAACUAAAAACAUGGGUGGGGAAUGUCCGAGAACGGCAACGACGAGAGACGUUAAUUCUCAGUCUUCUGGCAGCAAAAGUACACCCAUGUAUUGUCCUCUUCAUGAAGUGAAAGGACAUAACCUAGAAAACUGUUACGC
Molecule: long non-coding RNA, 486 nt
Filed under: Ananas comosus (pineapple)
Lineage: Eukaryota; Viridiplantae; Streptophyta; Magnoliopsida; Poales; Bromeliaceae
Description: long non-coding RNA (ACOM_LNC044402)
Source: RNAcentral